GGCGACCGGCGCACGGGUGAGUAACGCGUAUCCAACCUGCCCCACACUAAGGGAUAACCCGCAGAAAUGUGGACUAAUACCUUAUAUUUUCCACCAAGGGCAUCGUCGAUGGAACAAAGAUUUAUCGGUAUGGGAUGGGGAUGCGUCCGAUUAGGUUGUUGGCGGGGUAACGGCCCACCAAGCCUUCGAUCGGUAGGGGUUCUGAGAGGAAGGUCCCCCACAUAGGAACUGAGACACGGUCCUAACUCC
This 249-nucleotide ribosomal RNA is filed under the name uncultured Prevotellaceae bacterium. Its description in RNAcentral is "partial 16S ribosomal RNA". It matches the Rfam family "Bacterial small subunit ribosomal RNA", at positions 90 to 339 of the family's 1533-position model. The record is from RNAcentral. Lineage: Bacteria; Pseudomonadati; Bacteroidota; Bacteroidia; Bacteroidales; Prevotellaceae.